RNAcentral lists this ribosomal RNA (1403 nucleotides) under Microbacterium proteolyticum. RNAcentral describes it as "bacterial SSU rRNA". It matches the Rfam family "Bacterial small subunit ribosomal RNA". The record is from RNAcentral. Lineage: Bacteria; Bacillati; Actinomycetota; Actinomycetes; Micrococcales; Microbacteriaceae.
AUGCAAGUCGAACGGUGAAGCCAAGCUUGCUUGGUGGAUCAGUGGCGAACGGGUGAGUAACACGUGAGCAACCUGCCCUGGACUCUGGGAUAAGCGCUGGAAACGGCGUCUAAUACUGGAUAUGAGCUCUCAUCGCAUGGUGGGGGUUGGAAAGAUUUUUCGGUCUGGGAUGGGCUCGCGGCCUAUCAGCUUGUUGGUGAGGUAAUGGCUCACCAAGGCGUCGACGGGUAGCCGGCCUGAGAGGGUGACCGGCCACACUGGGACUGAGACACGGCCCAGACUCCUACGGGAGGCAGCAGUGGGGAAUAUUGCACAAUGGGCGGAAGCCUGAUGCAGCAACGCCGCGUGAGGGAUGACGGCCUUCGGGUUGUNAACCUCUUUUAGCAGGGAAGAAGCGAGAGUGACGGUACCUGCAGAAAAAGCGCCGGCUAACUACGUGCCAGCAGCCGCGGUAAUACGUAGGGCGCAAGCGUUAUCCGGAAUUAUUGGGCGUAAAGAGCUCGUAGGCGGUUUGUCGCGUCUGCUGUGAAAUCCCGAGGCUCAACCUCGGGCCUGCAGUGGGUACGGGCAGACUAGAGUGCGGUAGGGGAGAUUGGAAUUCCUGGUGUAGCGGUGGAAUGCGCAGAUAUCAGGAGGAACACCGAUGGCGAAGGCAGAUCUCUGGGCCGUAACUGACGCUGAGGAGCGAAAGGGUGGGGAGCAAACAGGCUUAGAUACCCUGGUAGUCCACCCCGUAAACGUUGGGAACUAGUUGUGGGGACCAUUCCACGGUUUCCGUGACGCAGCUAACGCAUUAAGUUCCCCGCCUGGGGAGUACGGCCGCAAGGCUAAAACUCAAAGGAAUUGACGGGGACCCGCACAAGCGGCGGAGCAUGCGGAUUAAUUCGAUGCAACGCGAAGAACCUUACCAAGGCUUGACAUACACCAGAACACCGUAGAAAUACGGGACUCUUUGGACACUGGUGAACAGGUGGUGCAUGGUUGUCGUCAGCUCGUGUCGUGAGAUGUUGGGUUAAGUCCCGCAACGAGCGCAACCCUCGUUCUAUGUUGCCAGCACGUAAUGGUGGGAACUCAUGGGAUACUGCCGGGGUCAACUCGGAGGAAGGUGGGGAUGACGUCAAAUCAUCAUGCCCCUUAUGUCUUGGGCUUCACGCAUGCUACAAUGGCCGGUACAAAGGGCUGCAAUACCGUGAGGUGGAGCGAAUCCCAAAAAGCCGGUCCCAGUUCGGAUUGAGGUCUGCAACUCGACCUCAUGAAGUCGGAGUCGCUAGUAAUCGCAGAUCAGCAACGCUGCGGUGAAUACGUUCCCGGGUCUUGUACACACCGCCCGUCAAGUCAUGAAAGUCGGUAACACCUGAAGCCGGUGGCCCAACCCUUGUGGAGGGAGCCGUCGAAGGGGUCCA